GGUAGUUUGGAAAUCACCUAAUAUAUAUAUGUAUAUAUUUAUAAAUAAAAGUUAAUAUAUAUAAAUUAACAUUAAUUUUUUUUAACAGGAAAUGCACAAUGCUAAAAACUGCGUAGGAGAUUUUAAUACAAUAGUACUACCAAGCCUGAUGUUGGCCGCUAUUUCAAUGAAUGCAGCAGUGUCACAGCUAGCAAUCAAAAGUAACAAGAUAUUGAGGAAAUGCAGAUGGCAAUAAACUGUGUAGGAGUUCAUGAUUGCAAUAGAAUAAAAUCGACCAAGCCUGAAGUCAGCAGCCCCUUCAAUGAAUGCAGCAGUGUGACAGCCAGCAAUCAAAAGUUACAAGAUAUCGAGGAAAUGCAGAUGGCAAUAAACUGUGUAGGAGUUUAUGAUUGCAAUAGAAUAAAAUCGACCAAGCCUGAAGUCAGCAGCCCCUUCAAUGAAUGCAGCAGUGUGACAGCCAACAAUCAAAAGUUACAAGAUAUCGAGG
Molecule: long non-coding RNA, 487 nt
Filed under: Pectinophora gossypiella (pink bollworm)
Lineage: Eukaryota; Metazoa; Arthropoda; Insecta; Lepidoptera; Gelechiidae
Description: uncharacterized LOC126374716
Source: RNAcentral